Molecule: unclassified non-coding RNA, 392 nt
Filed under: soil metagenome
Description: partial contains 5.8S ribosomal RNA, internal transcribed spacer 2, and large subunit ribosomal RNA
Rfam family: 5.8S ribosomal RNA (bases 1-122)
Source: RNAcentral
GAUGAAGAACGUAGCGAAAUGCGAUACUUGGUGUGAAUUGCAGAAUCCCGUGAACCAUCGAGUCUUUGAACGCAAGUUGCGCCCGAAGCCAUUAGGCCGAGGGCACGCCUGCCUGGGCGUCACACGUCGUUGCCCCCCCCAUCUACUCCUUCGGGAUUGCGGGGGGCGGAUGAUGGCCUCCCGUGCGCCUCGCCGCGCGGUUGGCAUAAAUGCCAAGUCCUCGGCGACGCACGCCACGACAAUCGGUGGUUGCGAAACCUCGGUUGCCCGUCGUGUGCGGUCGUCGCGCAUCGAGGGCUCGAAAAAAUUGCCGAGUUCCGGCUCGGCUUUCAACGCGACCCCGGGUCAGGCGGGGUUACCCGCUGAAUUUAAGCAUAUCAAUAAGCGGAGGA